This 77-nucleotide transfer RNA is filed under the name Iodobacter fluviatilis. RNAcentral describes it as "tRNA-Pro(ggg)". It matches the Rfam family "tRNA". Rfam says of the family: Transfer RNA (tRNA) molecules are approximately 80 nucleotides in length. Their secondary structure includes four short double-helical elements and three loops (D, anti-codon, and T loops). Lineage: Bacteria; Pseudomonadati; Pseudomonadota; Betaproteobacteria; Neisseriales; Chitinibacteraceae. The record is from RNAcentral. RNAcentral also lists the same sequence under 7 other names.
CGGAAUGUGGCGCAGCCCGGUAGCGCACUUGCAUGGGGUGCAAGGGGUCGGAGGUUCGAAUCCUCUCAUUCCGACCA